GUAGGGAAUCUUCCACAAUGGACGAAAGUCUGAUGGAGCAACGCCGCGUGAGUGAAGAAGGUUCUCGGAUCGUAAAACUCUGUUGUGAGGGAAGAACAAGUACCGGAGUAACUGCCGGUACCUUGACGGUACCUCAUUAGAAAGCCACGGCUAACUACGUGCCAGCAGCCGCGGUAAUACGUAGGUGGCAAGCGUUGUCCGGAAUCAUUGGGCGUAAAGCGCGCGCAGGCGGUCCCUUAAGUCUGAUGUGAAAGCCCACGGCUCAACCGUGGAGGGUCAUUGGAAACUGGGGGACUUGAGUGCAGAAGAGGAAAGCGGAAUUCCAAGUGUAGCGGUGAAAUGUGUAGAGAUUUGGAGGAACACCAGUGGCGGAGGCGGCUUUCUGGUCUGUAACUGACGCUGAGGCGCGAAAGCGUGGGGAGCAAACAGGAUUAGAAACCCUAGUAGUCC
RNAcentral lists this ribosomal RNA (450 nucleotides) under uncultured bacterium. RNAcentral's name for it is "partial 16S ribosomal RNA". It matches the Rfam family "Bacterial small subunit ribosomal RNA", at positions 354 to 796 of the family's 1533-position model. The record is from RNAcentral.